UACAGAGACUGCAAGCGUUAUUCGGAUUCACUGGGCGUAAAGGGUGCGCAGGCGGCCAUGUGUGUGAGGCGUGAAAGCUCGAUGCUCAACAUCGGAAUUGCAUCUCAAACUACAUGGCUAGAGCAUUGGAGAGGGUAGCGGAAUUCACGGUGUAGCAGUGAAAUGCGUAGAUAUCGUGAGGAACAUCAGAGGCGAAGGCGGCUAUCUGGACAAUUGCUGACGCUUAGGCACGAAAGCGUGGGGAGCAAAAGGG
RNAcentral lists this ribosomal RNA (253 nucleotides) under uncultured bacterium. RNAcentral's name for it is "partial 16S ribosomal RNA". It matches the Rfam family "Bacterial small subunit ribosomal RNA", at positions 524 to 776 of the family's 1533-position model. The record is from RNAcentral.